RNAcentral lists this transfer RNA (59 nucleotides) under Phaeocystis rex. RNAcentral describes it as "partial tRNA". Lineage: Eukaryota; Haptophyta; Phaeocystales; Phaeocystaceae. The record is from RNAcentral.
AGGUAUUUUUUGACGGUUAUUCUUAUUCUCGUCAAAUAGUUAAGAAAAAUUUAAUUAUU